CCUUGCCAGCCCGCUCAAGAAACUUAAUGAAUUGACGGGGGCCCGCACAAGCGGAGGAGCAUGUGGUUUAAUUCGAUGAUACGCGAGGAACCUUACCUGGGCUCGAACGUAAGAUGACUGUAGGUGAAAGCUUACAUCUCUUCGGAGCAUUUUACGAGGUGCUGCAUGGUUGUCGUCAGCUCGUGCCGUGAGGUGUCGGGUUAAGUCCCAUAACGAGCGCAACCCCUACCUUUAGUUGCCAUCAGGUAAUGCUGGGGACUCUAAAGGAACUGCCUACGCAAGUAGUGAGGAAGGCGGGGAUGACGUCAAAUCAGCACGGCCCUUACGUCCAGGGCUACACACGUGCUACAAUGGCCGAUACAGAGGGCAGCUACCUGGUGACAGGAUGCAAAUCUCCAAAGUCGGUCUCAGUUCGGAUCGGAGUCUGCAACCCGACUCCGUGAAGUUGGAUUCGCUAGUAAUCGCGCAUCAGCCAUGGCGCGGUGAAUACGUUCCCGGGCCUU
Molecule: ribosomal RNA, 503 nt
Filed under: uncultured Sphingobacteriales bacterium
Lineage: Bacteria; Pseudomonadati; Bacteroidota; Sphingobacteriia; Sphingobacteriales
Description: bacterial SSU rRNA
Rfam family: Bacterial small subunit ribosomal RNA
Source: RNAcentral